Molecule: ribosomal RNA, 482 nt
Filed under: uncultured bacterium
Lineage: Bacteria
Description: bacterial SSU rRNA
Rfam family: Bacterial small subunit ribosomal RNA
Source: RNAcentral
GAUAAACGCUGGCGGCGCACAUAAGACAUGCAAGUCGAACGGAAGUCGUUAUGAUGAUUUUGACAUGGACAGAGAACUUGUUCGAAGAAAGUAGAGAUUGACUUAUAACAAUGGCUUUAGUGGCGGACUGGUGAGUAACGCGUGAGCAACCUGCCUAACAGAGGGGAAUAACAGUGAGAAAUCAUUGCUAAUACCGCAUAUGCCAUGAACAUCACAUGAUGAAAAAUGGGAAAGGAGAAAUCCGCUGAUAGAUGGGCUCGCGUCUGAUUAGAUAGUUGGUGGGGUAACGGCCUACCAAGUCAACGAUCAGUAGCCGGACUGAGAGGUUGAACGGCCACAUUGGGACUGAGAUACGGCCCAGACUCCUACGGAGGCAGCAGUCGGGAAUAUUGCGCAAUGGAGGAAACUACUGACGCAGUGACGCCGCGUAUAGGAAGAAGGUUUUCGGAUUGUAAACUUCUUUAAGGGGGAACAGUAGAAGA